UGUGUAUUAUAGUAUAGCUAUUGGUCACAUUUCCAGGAAGCUUCAAGGACCAACAACACAUCUCCAUGGCAAGCUCAGACUCCGUUAACGGAGAAACGCCGCCGACCCGUGGGAGGCGAGACCGACGUCUUCACUUCACGUCGUGUCGUCGGGUGCACUUUCUCCAUCACUGCCUAAAGUGGACCCUGAACCUUUGGACCUGAUGUGAACUAGAAUGAAGUUGGCUGGACCUCAAGUACUCUGUGGAAGCUUCAAGGACCAACAACACAUCUCGGUAUGACAAGUGGAGACUCGACCAUACAGACCCGUCCGGUCUCGCAUACGACGCCGUUUAUGGCAAACGGAGAAACGCUCCUGGGAGGCACUUUCUCCAUCACUGCCUAAAGUGGACCUGAUGUGAACUAGAAUGAAGUUGGCUGGACAUAAAGUUUACUGGACCUCAAGUACUCUGUGGUAUUGUAUUUAAUAUUGUUGUGGUACUUUGAAUGUUAGGAAAGUUGUACAGGCAUUCCCCUGUUUAUAAGAGUGCUGUGUCUUAUAAAAACCUAUGGUAAAUCGAAUCAAUAUUCCUAUAGACUCACAUUAUAAAAGCCAAGAUAGUUUUCUACAAUGAAAACAGUUCCCCCCCAAUUAUGUACGGUCCCCUAAAAAGUAUCGAUUGAAUUUUCUAGCGGUAAAAUUUGAAACUCUAGAUGAAAUACUUUGCUGUGAUCCCCAGUGCAUCAGCAUAAGUUGAUACAGGUACAUCCGGUCACUAUAUGAGCAAUAGCCAUAGACGGCGGGUAGCGACGGUGUCGUCCUCGUGUGACAUACAACCGUACUGUAUAUGCUUUACUAUAACAAGAAAUUCAUUAAGCUAUAUUAAUGUAUGUAUCGUGCCGGUUAGAAGCGAGGCCCCAACCGAAGAUUACAAUAAUAUCGGAAUAUACAUUAAACGGAAGAGUUUUGGAACGUCGCGAGCGAGACUGAGACGGACCUCGGGGCAUACGUUUCGCCACCGCGUCGUAGUGACGGUUUCAUUCGUACCGAGAUGCACAAUGUAGUCGUCGACGACACGUCUGAUUUUUGAGGAGUGACCGAGCAAAUAGUAGUUAUUAGAGUGAACGGCUACAGCAAUAUACAAUAUAUCGGUCUAAAUGGGAUCUGUCAAAUAUUAUUGAUACGUAAAUGGUAUCGGUUUAACGUCAAAAUAAGAUUUUAAUCGGCGCGUCGCCCGUCGUUUAGCGGCGGGUAACCCAUCGCGAUGCCCGAGGGUUCGCCCGCCCCAUUCUGCGGAGUUAUUCGAGCGUUGCGUGUACCCUCGUCGUAAAGGCUAAUAAUAGCACCUCUCGCCCCGUUGUGUCUUUCUGAUAAUUCCUCGGUUCAUAUG
Long non-coding RNA from Homarus americanus (American lobster), 1369 nucleotides. RefSeq lists it as uncharacterized. The record is from RefSeq and is a predicted model, not a curated record. The transcript has 4 exons. NCBI's taxonomy places the organism in Eukaryota, Metazoa, Arthropoda, Malacostraca, Decapoda, Nephropidae.